AUUGAACGCUGGCGGCAGGCCUAACACAUGCAAGUCGAGCGAAUGAAGGGAGCUUGCUCCUGGAUUCAGCGGCGGACGGGUGAGUAAUGCCUAGGAAUCUGCCUGGUAGUGGGGGAUAACGUCCGGAAACGGGCGCUAAUACCGCAUACGUCCUGAGGGAGAAAGUGGGGGAUCUUCGGACCUCACGCUAUCAGAUGAGCCUAGGUCGGAUUAGCUAGUUGGUCGGGUAAAGGCCUACCAAGGCGACGAUCCGUAACUGGUCUGAGAGGAUGAUCAGUCACACUGGAACUGAGACACGGUCCAGACUCCUACGGGAGGCAGCAGUGGGGAAUAUUGGACAAUGGGCGAAAGCCUGAUCCAGCCAUGCCGCGUGUGUGAAGAAGGUCUUCGGAUUGUAAAGCACUUUAAGUUGGGAGGAAGGGCAGUAAGUUAAUACCUUGCUGUUUUGACGUUACCAACAGAAUAAGCACCGGCUAACUUCGUG
Molecule: ribosomal RNA, 484 nt
Filed under: uncultured bacterium
Lineage: Bacteria
Description: partial 16S ribosomal RNA
Rfam family: Bacterial small subunit ribosomal RNA
Source: RNAcentral